RNAcentral lists this ribosomal RNA (269 nucleotides) under uncultured prokaryote. RNAcentral's name for it is "partial 16S ribosomal RNA". It matches the Rfam family "Bacterial small subunit ribosomal RNA", at positions 524 to 792 of the family's 1533-position model. The record is from RNAcentral.
UACGAACGGCCCGAGCGUUGCGCGGAAUCAUUGGGCUUAAAGCGUACGUAGGCGGACGCGCAGGCGUUUUGUGAAAUCCCUCGGCUCAACCGAGGAAUUGCUUGAUGAACCGCGCGUCUUGAGGCAAGUAGGGGCUGUCGGAACGAUAGAUGGAGUGGUGAAAUGCGUUGAUAUCUAUCGGAACGCCAAAGGAGAAAUCAGGCAGCUGGGCUUGUCCUGACGCUGAGGUACGAAAGCGUGGGGAGCGAACGGGAUUAGAUACCCGCGUA